RNAcentral lists this ribosomal RNA (756 nucleotides) under uncultured archaeon. RNAcentral's name for it is "bacterial SSU rRNA". It matches the Rfam family "Archaeal small subunit ribosomal RNA", at positions 102 to 859 of the family's 1478-position model. The record is from RNAcentral.
GGAUAACCUGCCCUUAGGUCUGGCAUAACCCCGGGAAACUGGGGAUAAUUCCGGAUAGAUCAUCGAUGCUGGAAUGCGCUUUGAUCCAAAGCUAUUGUGCCUAAGGAUGGGUCUGCGGUCUAUCAGGUCGUAGUGGGUGUAAUGUACCUACUAGCCUACGACGGAUACGGGUUGUGGGAGCAAGAGCCCGGAGAUGGAUUCUGAGACAUGAAUCCAGGCCCUACGGGGCGCAGCAGGCGCGAAAACUUUACAAUGCGGGGAACCGCGAUAAGGGGACACCGAGUGCCAGCAUCCUAUGUUGGCUGUCCAUAUGUCUAAAUCACAUGUGUUAGCAAGGGCCGGGCAAGACCGGUGCCAGCCGCCGCGGUAACACCGGCGGCUCGAGUGGUAACCGUUAUUAUUGGGUCUAAAGGGUCUGUAGCCGGCCGGAUAAGUCUCUUGAGAAAUCCAGCAGCUCAACUGUUGGGCUUUCAGGAGAUACUGUCUGGCUCGAGGCCGGGAGAGGUGAGAGGUACUUCAGGGGUAGGGGUGAAAUCUUGUAAUCCUUGAAGGACCACCAGUGGCGAAGGCGUCUCACCAGAACGGACCUGACGGCAAGGGACGAAAGCUAGGGGCACGAACCGGAUUAGAUACCCGGGUAGUCCUAGCCGUAAACGAUACUCGCUAGGUGUCGGCCACGGUGCGACCGUUGUCGGUGCCGUAGGGAAGCCGUGAAGCGAGCCACCUGGGAAGUACGGCCGCAAGGCUGAAACUUAA